GCAGGAUCCGGGACACUCACAGGUGUGGAGACACUCUGUGAUGGUGGUGGCGUCCACGAAGUAGCCGGCGCACAGGCAGCAAACGAUGUGCUCGUUCAGGUCUUUGAUCUUCACUCGGACCUCCUCCUGUGGACACACCCUCCUCGGUCACUGCUCACUCGUCUCGCAAGCCCUGCCCACGUCACCUCUGCACUUCCCAGCUCCAGAGCAGUUCCUGUCACUGGACUCGGCCCGAGGAAGUGGGGGUAAGGGGGGAGAUGCGCUCCCCCUCCGCCCAGCAGAGGGCUCCGCGCACAGCGGGUGCUCUCUUCUCGGGGACUCGCCUGGCCCUCCUCCUUUCCCUAGGGAGACCGAACGCCGUCAAUGACACAACGCGCAAGCGUCCCAGUCCAGCGUUUGGCAGCCCUGUCGGAAUCGCGCGUGCGUACCACGCACCCCCAAUGCUGCGCAGGCGCACUGGGCGCCCGUCCCGCCACCGCCCGUCCUCUCGCCCGCUUGGGUUCGCACAGCUAACGGGCCCCAGAAGUCAACCCGCCGCCCCUGCACCUCGUUCCGUAGCGGGUCCAUCUUGUACACUGACUGGAGCUGGUUCCGAAGCCUCAUCGCGAUCGCAAUCUGGCCCCCCUGAGGAGACGCCAUCUUAAAGGCUGAUCCCAGCCCGCCACUUCCGCGUUAUUAGCACCGAGUACAAUUGGAGAUUGGAGCCAGAGGGGAGCUACCGCCUGGACAUUGAAAGUGUGAUGGAAAUGGGAAAGACAGGUAGUGUGGAGCGGGGAAUGAUGGAGAAAACAGAAGGUGUGGAUUGGGAGUGGGAAUAGAAGGAAUGUGGCCAAAAAGGGUUGGGAUGAAUAGAUUGAUGGCAACAGGUACCUGACAGAAAGGUGUGUGUGUGUGUGUGUGUGUGUGUGUGUGUGUGUGUGUGUGUGUUACCCCACGAAUGGAAUAAGAUGUCCUCUUCAGAAUGGAGUACAUAAUCAGCAAGAAAGUGUUAACGACUUGUUAAUCAACUAAUUAAAGCUAUGGUUUACCUC
This is a long non-coding RNA of Onychomys torridus (southern grasshopper mouse), 1031 nucleotides long. RefSeq lists it as uncharacterized. The record is from RefSeq and is a predicted model, not a curated record. The transcript is spliced from 2 exons. Lineage: Eukaryota; Metazoa; Chordata; Mammalia; Rodentia; Cricetidae.